This 203-nucleotide ribosomal RNA is filed under the name uncultured Pseudomonas sp. Its description in RNAcentral is "partial 16S ribosomal RNA". It matches the Rfam family "Bacterial small subunit ribosomal RNA", at positions 1179 to 1382 of the family's 1533-position model. The record is from RNAcentral. Lineage: Bacteria; Pseudomonadati; Pseudomonadota; Gammaproteobacteria; Pseudomonadales; Pseudomonadaceae.
AUGACGUCAAGUCAUCAUGGCCCUUACGGCCUGGGCUACACACGUGCUACAAUGGUCGGUACAAAGGGUUGCCAAGCCGCGAGUGGAGCUAAUCCCAUAAAACCGAUCGUAGUCCGGAUCGCAGUCUGCAACUCGACUGCGUGAAGUCGGAAUCGCUAGUAAUCGUGAAUCAGAAUGUCACGGUGAAUACGUUCCCGGGCCUU